RNAcentral lists this non-coding RNA (221 nucleotides) under Roseateles saccharophilus. The record is from RNAcentral. Lineage: Bacteria; Pseudomonadati; Pseudomonadota; Betaproteobacteria; Burkholderiales; Sphaerotilaceae.
CAAGUCCGCUGCAAUGAAGGAAUAGCGAUCCACAUUGGCCCCGAGUCAUGCGCGGCACACCGCGAGGUGUGGCGUGAAGCGUUGACAGGGGUACGCACAGGCCAGCCAUUGAGCCACGAAAGGUACUUAUCCCGGGUGUCGACGCUGUACCACUGGCGGAAGACAACACGGGCGGGGGCGCCAACGCGAGCCCCCGCGCGACCCGGCGCGGUCGCAGAACC